RNAcentral lists this unclassified non-coding RNA (186 nucleotides) under rhizosphere metagenome. RNAcentral's name for it is "partial ribosomal RNA internal transcribed spacer region". The record is from RNAcentral.
GUGUUCCCUGCCCUCACGGGUAGAAACGCCCACCCUUGUAUAAUAUAUCUUGUUGCUUUGGCAGGCCGCCCUCGGGCACCGGCUCCGGCUGGAUCGUGCCUGCCAGAGGACCCCAAACUCUGAAUGUUAGUGUCGUCUGAGUACUAUAUAAUAGUUAAAACUUUCAACAACGGAUCUCUUGGUUCU